UUUCGAAUAAUUCAAAGGUAGAAAUUUUAGCUUACAACUAUAAAGUUAUUGGUUCAAAUCCAGUUUCGAAAA
Molecule: transfer RNA, 72 nt
Filed under: Phaeocystis rex
Lineage: Eukaryota; Haptophyta; Phaeocystales; Phaeocystaceae
Description: tRNA-Val
Rfam family: tRNA
About the family: Transfer RNA (tRNA) molecules are approximately 80 nucleotides in length.
Source: RNAcentral